This 253-nucleotide ribosomal RNA is filed under the name uncultured bacterium. RNAcentral describes it as "partial 16S ribosomal RNA". It matches the Rfam family "Bacterial small subunit ribosomal RNA", at positions 524 to 776 of the family's 1533-position model. The record is from RNAcentral.
UACGGAGGGUGCAAGCGUUAUCCGGAUUCACUGGGUUUAAAGGGUGCGUAGGUGGGUUGGUAAGUCAGUGGUGAAAUCUCCGAGCUUAACUUGGAAACUGCCAUUGAUACUAUCAGUCUUGAAUACCGUGGAGGUCAGCGGAAUAUGUCAUGUAGCGGUGAAAUGCUUAGAUAUGACAUAGAACACCAAUUGCGAAGGCAGCUGGCUACUCGGAUAUUGACACUGAGGCACGAAAGCGCGGGGAUCAAACAGG